GAGGCAGCAGUGGGGAAUAUUGGACAAUGGGGGCAACCCUGAUCCAGCCAUGCCGCGUGAAUGAUGAAGGCCUUCGGGUUGUAAAAUUCUUUUGGUGGGGACGAUGAUGACGGUACCCACAGAAUAAGCUCCGGCUAACCUCGUGCCAGCAGCCGCGGUAAUACGAAGGGGGCUAGCGUUGUUCGGAAUUACUGGGCGUAAAGGGCGCGUAGGCGGCUUGAUAAGUUGGAUGUGAAAGCCCAGGGCUCAACCCUGGAAUAGCAUUCAAGACUAUCUCGCUUGAAUUCGGUAGAGGUUGGUGGAAUUCCCAGUGUAGAGGUGAAAUUCGUAGAGAUUGGGAAGAAUAUCCGUGGCGAAGGCGGCCAACUGGACCGACAUUGACGCUGAGGCGCGAAAGCGUGGGGAGCAAACAGGAUUAGAUACCCUGGUAGUCCACGCCGUAAAC
Molecule: ribosomal RNA, 445 nt
Filed under: uncultured bacterium
Lineage: Bacteria
Description: bacterial SSU rRNA
Rfam family: Bacterial small subunit ribosomal RNA
Source: RNAcentral